UACGUAGGGUGCAAGCGUUGUCCGGAAUUAUUGGGCGUAAAGAGCUCGUAGGCGGCUAGUCACGUCGGAUGUGAAAACCCGAGGCUCAACCUCGGGCCUGCAUUCGAUACGGGCUGGCUAGAGUACUGCAGGGGAGACUGGAAUUCCUAGUGUAGCGGUGAAGUGCGCAGAUAUCAGGAGGAACACCGGAGGCGAAGGCGGGUCUCUGGGCAGUAACUGACGCUGAGGAGCGAAAGCGUGGGGAGCGAACAGG
RNAcentral lists this ribosomal RNA (253 nucleotides) under uncultured bacterium. Its description in RNAcentral is "partial 16S ribosomal RNA". It matches the Rfam family "Bacterial small subunit ribosomal RNA", at positions 524 to 776 of the family's 1533-position model. The record is from RNAcentral.